UCGAGAAUAUUCCGCAAUGGACGAAAGUCUGACGGAGCAAUACCGCGUGUAGGAUGACGGCCUUCGGGUUGUAAACUACUUUUCUAUAGGAGCAAGUACGCUGAGAGUACUAUGGGAAUAAGGGGUUACUAACUCUGUGCCAGCAGUAGCGGUAAUACAGAGACCCCAAGCAUUAUCCGGAUUUAUUGGGCGUAAAGAGUGUGUAGGCGGCUUCAUUUGUCAGUUGUUAAAGCCGGUGGCUCAACCAUCG
Molecule: ribosomal RNA, 250 nt
Filed under: uncultured bacterium
Lineage: Bacteria
Description: partial 16S ribosomal RNA
Rfam family: Bacterial small subunit ribosomal RNA
Source: RNAcentral